CCCAUGCCGAACACGGAAGUUAAGCUCUUCAGCGCCGAUGGUAGUUGGGGGUUUCCCCCUGUGAGAGUAGGACGCCGCCAAGC
This 83-nucleotide ribosomal RNA is filed under the name Bacillus safensis. The record is from RNAcentral. Lineage: Bacteria; Bacillati; Bacillota; Bacilli; Caryophanales; Bacillaceae.